RNAcentral lists this ribosomal RNA (426 nucleotides) under uncultured bacterium. Its description in RNAcentral is "partial 16S ribosomal RNA". It matches the Rfam family "Bacterial small subunit ribosomal RNA", at positions 354 to 796 of the family's 1533-position model. The record is from RNAcentral.
GUGAGGAAUUUUCCGCAAUGGGCGAAAGCCUGACGGAGCAAUGCCGCGUGAAGGAUGAAGGCCUAUGGGUUGUAAACUUCUUUUCCUAGAGAAGAAUAUUGACGGUAUCUGAGGAAUAAGCAUCGGCUAACUCUGUGCCAGCAGCCGCGGUAAGACAGAGGAUGCAAGCGUUAUCCGGAAUGAUUGGGCGUAAAGCGUCUGUAGGUGGCUUCAAAAGUCUCCUGUCAAAGAUCAGGGCUUAACCCUGGGCCGGCAGGAGAAACUCUGAGGCUAGAGUUUGGUAGGGGCAGAGGGAAUUCCCGGUGGAGCGGUGAAAUGCGUAGAGAUCGGGAGGAACACCAAAGGCGAAAGCACUCUGCUGGGCCACAACUGACACUGAGAGACGAAAGCGAGGGGAGCAAAAGGGAUUAGAUACCCGUGUAGUCC